RNAcentral lists this ribosomal RNA (253 nucleotides) under uncultured bacterium. RNAcentral's name for it is "partial 16S ribosomal RNA". It matches the Rfam family "Bacterial small subunit ribosomal RNA", at positions 524 to 776 of the family's 1533-position model. The record is from RNAcentral.
UACGUAGGGUGCAAGCGUUGUCCGGAAUUAUUGGGCGUAAAGAGCUCGUAGGCGGUUUGUCGCGUCUGCUGUGAAAACUCGGGGCUUAACCCCGGGCGUGCAGUGGAUACGGGCUGGCUGGAGGCAGGCAGGGGAGAAUGGAAUUCCCGGUGUAGCGGUGAAAUGCGCAGAUAUCGGGAGGAACACCGGUGGCGAAGGCGGUUCUCUGGGCCUGUGCUGACGCUGAGGAGCGAAAGCGUGGGGAGCGAACAGG